GACGAACGCUGGCGGCGCGCCUAACACAUGCAAGUCGAACGAGCGAGAGAGAGCUUGCUUUCUCGAGCGAGUGGCGAACGGGUGAGUAACGCGUGAGGAACCUGCCUCAAAGAGGGGGACAACAGUUGGAAACGACUGCUAAUACCGCAUAAGCCCACGGGUCGGCAUCGACCAGAGGGAAAAGGAGCAAUCCGCUUUGAGAUGGCCUCGCGUCCGAUUAGCUAGUUGGUGAGGUAACGGCCCACCAAAGCAACGAUCGGUAGCCGGACUGAGAGGUUGAACGGCCACAUUGGGACUGAGACACGGCCCAGACUCCUACGGGAGGCAGCAGUGGGGAAUAUUGCACAAUGGGGGAAACCCUGAUGCAGCGACGCCGCGUGGAGGAAGAAGGUCUUCGGAUUGUAAACUCCUGUUGUUGGGGAAGAUAAUGACGGUACCCAACAAGGAAGUGACGGCUAACUACGUGCCAGCAGCCGCGGUAAAACGUAGGUCACAAGCGUUGUCCGGAAUUACUGGGUGUAAAGGGAGCGCAGGCGGGAAGACAAGUUGGAAGUGAAAUCUAUGGGCUCAACCCAUAAACUGCUUUCAAAACUGUUUUUCUUGAGUAGUGCAGAGGUAGGCGGAAUUCCCGGUGUAGCGGUGGAAUGCGUAGAUAUCGGGAGGAACACCAGUGGCGAAGGCGGCCUACUGGGCACCAACUGACGCUGAGGCUCGAAAGUGUGGGUAGCAAACAAGAUCAGAUACCCUGGUAGUCCACACCGUAAACGAUGAUUAUUAGGUGUUGGAGGAGUGACCCCCUCAGUGCCGCAGCUAACACAAUAAGUAAUCCACCUGGGGAGUACGACCGCAAGGUUGAAACUCAAAGGAAUAGACGGGGGCCCGCACAAGCAGUGGAGUAUGUGGUUUAAUUCGACGCAACGCGAAGAACCUUACCAAGUCUUGACAUCCCUUGACAGGCAUAGAAAUAUGUUUUCUCUUCGGAGCAAGGAGACAGGUGGUGCAUGGUUGUCGUCAGCUCGUGUCGUGAGAUGUUGGGUUAAGUCCCGCAACGAGCGCAACCCUUAUGGUCAGUUACUACGCAAGAGGACUCUGGCCAGACUGCCGUUGACAAAACGGAGGAAGGUGGGGAGGACGUCAAAUCAUCAUGCCCCUUAUGACUUGGGCUACACACGUACUACAAUGGCGUUAAACAAAGAGAAGCAAGACCGCGAGGUGGAGCAAAACUCAGAAACAACGUCCCAGUUCGGACUGCAGGCUGCAACUCGCCUGCACGAAGUCGGAAUUGCUAGUAAUCGUGGAUCAGCAUGCCACGGUGAAUAAGUUCCCGGGCCUUGCACA
RNAcentral lists this ribosomal RNA (1338 nucleotides) under uncultured bacterium. RNAcentral describes it as "bacterial SSU rRNA". It matches the Rfam family "Bacterial small subunit ribosomal RNA", at positions 28 to 1387 of the family's 1533-position model. The record is from RNAcentral.